UACGAAGGGGGCUAGCGUUGUUCGGAAUCACUGGGCUUAAGGGCGCGUAGGCGGAUUUGCAAGUCCGUGGUGAAAUCCCACAGCUCAACUGUGGAACUGCCUCGGAUACUGUGAGUCUCGAGGGUGGUAGGGGUAUGCGGAACUAUCGGUGGAGCGGUGAAAUGCGUUGAUAUCGAUAGGAACUCCGGUGGCGAAGGCGGCAUACUGGACCACAUCUGACGCUGAGGCGCGAAAGCCAGGGGAGCAAACGGG
RNAcentral lists this ribosomal RNA (252 nucleotides) under uncultured bacterium. RNAcentral describes it as "partial 16S ribosomal RNA". It matches the Rfam family "Bacterial small subunit ribosomal RNA", at positions 524 to 776 of the family's 1533-position model. The record is from RNAcentral.